AAGUCGUAACAAGGUUUCCGUAGGUGAACCUGCGGAAGGAUCAUUACCGAUUUUAGCGGACCUGAUCUUUUGAUCAUGGUCUCGCAAAAACUUGUAUUUAAAACCCCACUCUUAUAAAUUGAAUCAUUUUAUAUGUAUAUAAUAAAUAAAGAUCACUUUCAACAACGGAUCUCUUGGCUCUC
RNAcentral lists this unclassified non-coding RNA (182 nucleotides) under Rhizophagus irregularis. RNAcentral describes it as "partial internal transcribed spacer region". The stretch from base 1 to 46 matches the Rfam family "Eukaryotic small subunit ribosomal RNA", at positions 1786 to 1831 of the family's 1831-position model. Lineage: Eukaryota; Fungi; Glomeromycota; Glomeromycetes; Glomerales; Glomeraceae. The record is from RNAcentral.